CAGUCGCCACGGUAAUACGAAGGGGGCUAGCGUUGCUCGGAAUCACUGGGCGUAAAGGGUGCGUAGGCGGGUCUUUAAGUCAGGGGUGAAAUCCUGGAGCUCAACUCCAGAACUGCCUUUGAUACUGAAGAUCUUGAGUAUGGGAGAGGUGAGUGGAACUGCGAGUGUAGAGGUGAAAUUCGUAGAUAUUCGCAAGAACACCAGUGGCGAAGGCGGCUCACUGGCCCAUAACUGACGCUGAGGCACGAAAGCGUGGGGAGCAAACAGGAUUAGAUACCCCAGUAGUCCCUGUCUCUUAUAC
This 301-nucleotide ribosomal RNA is filed under the name uncultured bacterium. Its description in RNAcentral is "partial 16S ribosomal RNA". It matches the Rfam family "Bacterial small subunit ribosomal RNA", at positions 509 to 807 of the family's 1533-position model. The record is from RNAcentral.